RNAcentral lists this ribosomal RNA (450 nucleotides) under uncultured bacterium. RNAcentral describes it as "bacterial SSU rRNA". It matches the Rfam family "Bacterial small subunit ribosomal RNA", at positions 29 to 524 of the family's 1533-position model. The record is from RNAcentral.
AACGAACGCUGGCGGCAUGCCUAACACAUGCAAGUCGAACGAAGCCUUCGGGCUUAGUGGCGCACGGGUGCGUAACGCGUGGGAAUCUGCCCUUGGGUUCGGAAUAACAGUUAGAAAUGACUGCUAAUACCGAAUGAUGUCUUCGGACCAAAGAUUUAUCGCCCAAGGAUGAGCCCGCGUCGGAUUAGCUAGUUGGUGAGGUAAAGGCUCACCAAGGCGACGAUCCGUAGCUGGUCUGAGAGGAUGAUCAGCCACACUGGGACUGAGACACGGCCCAGACUCCUACGGGAGGCAGCAGUGGGGAAUUUUGGACAAUGGGCGAAAGCCUGAUCCAGCAAUGCCGCGUGAGUGAUGAAGGCCUUAGGGUUGUAAAGCUCUUUUACCCGGGAUGAUAAUGACAGUACCGGGAGAAUAAGCCCCGGCUAACUCCGUGCCAGCAGCCGCGGUAAU